Molecule: ribosomal RNA, 494 nt
Filed under: uncultured bacterium
Lineage: Bacteria
Description: partial 16S ribosomal RNA
Rfam family: Bacterial small subunit ribosomal RNA
Source: RNAcentral
GACGAACGCUGGCGGCGUGCUUAACACAUGCAAGUCGAACGGUGAAGCGCCUUCCUUUUUGGUGGGUGUGGAUGAGUGGCGAACGGGUGAGUAACACGUGAGUAACCUGCCCCCUUCUUCUGGAUAACCGCAUGAAAGUGUGGCUAAUACGGGAUAUUCUGGGUCUGUCGCAUGAUGGGUCUGGGAAAGAUAUUGUUUCGGUGGGGGAUGGGCUCGCGGCCUAUCAGCUUGUUGGUGGGGUGAUGGCCUACCAAGGCGGUGACGGGUAGCCGGCCUGAGAGGGUGGACGGUCACACUGGGACUGAGACACGGCCCAGACUCCUACGGGAGGCAGCAGUGGGGAAUAGUGCACAGUGGGCGCAAGCCUGAUGCAGCGACGCCGCGUGAGGGAUGGAGGCCUUCGGGUUGUGAACCUCUUUCGCCAGUGAAGCAGGCCUGCCUCGUUUGUGGGUGGGUUGACGGUAGCUGGAUAAGAAGCGCCGGCUAACUACGUG